Non-coding RNA from Dermatophagoides farinae (American house dust mite), 443 nucleotides. Lineage: Eukaryota; Metazoa; Arthropoda; Arachnida; Sarcoptiformes; Pyroglyphidae. The record is from RefSeq and is a predicted model, not a curated record.
AUUAACUUCAAAUGAAUUGAACAGAGAAAAAAAAACAAAAGGCUAUAUAAAUGAACAUAUUUGAUAUUUAUUGUUGGUCAUCAUUGAUUAUCGAAAAAUAAAAAAGAAUUAUUAUUAUUAUUGAUCUCACAUAACCAACGAAUCGCCAAAUGUCAUUUUGCAUUAAUCACAUAUACAAUGGAAACUCUAAUUACGAUCCAGAAGAAUGUUUGUAACUCGAAUUUAUUCAAUUGACAAAUCAUCAAAGAAAAAAUAAUGGAAUAGAAUCUACAUUUGAUACAAUAUUCACCAACAUAACAGUUGAAGGAUUAAUAAUUAAUUCAUCAUCAUCAUCAUCAUUACGAUUCAUUGGAUUCUUGAAACGUGGAAAAAGAAGAAAAACAAAGAAAGAAUUUUUUUUUUUUGGAAAUCUUUGGAAUUAAUUUAUGGUUUUUUUUGACGGG